UCGAACGAGUUCUCGUUGAUGAUCGGUGCUUGCACCGAGAUUCAACAUGGAUCGAGUGGCGGACGGGUGAGUAACACGUGGGUAACCUGCCCUUAAGUGGGGGAUAACAUUUGGAAACAGAUGCUAAUACCGCAUAGAUCCAAGAACCGCAUGGUUCUUGGCUGAAAGAUGGCGUAAGCUAUCGCUUUUGGAUGGACCCGCGGCGUAUUAGCUAGUUGGUGAGGUAAUGGCUCACCAAGGCGAUGAUACGUAGCCGAACUGAGAGGUUGAUCGGCCACAUUGGGACUGAGACACGGCCCAAACUCCUACGGGAGGCAGCAGUAGGGAAUCUUCCACAAUGGACGCAAGUCUGAUGGAGCAACGCCGCGUGAGUGAAGAAGGCUUUCGGGUCGUAAAACUCUGUUGUUGGAGAAGAAUGAUCGGCAGAGUAACUGUUGUCGGCGUGACGGUAUCCAACCAGAAAGCCACGGCUAACUACGUGCCAGCAGCCGCGGUAAUACGUAGGUGGCAAGCGUUAUCCGGAUUUAUUGGGCGUAAAGCGAGCGCAGGCGGUUUUUUAAGUCUGAUGUGAAAGCCCUCGGCUUAACCGAGGAAGCGCAUCGGAAACUGGGAAACUUGAGUGCAGAAGAGGACAGUGGAACUCCAUGUGUAGCGGUGAAAUGCGUAGAUAUAUGGAAGAACACCAGUGGCGAAGGCGGCUGUCUGGUCUGUAACUGACGCUGAGGCUCGAAAGCAUGGGUAGCGAACAGGAUUAGAUACCCUGGUAGU
Molecule: ribosomal RNA, 768 nt
Filed under: uncultured bacterium
Lineage: Bacteria
Description: bacterial SSU rRNA
Rfam family: Bacterial small subunit ribosomal RNA
Source: RNAcentral